CUAAUUGCUGGAUACUCUACUGGGACUUCGGAGGAGGGAGAGGCACAGUUUGCCGCCCUUGAGACAGACCUGGCAUCGCUGUUGCAGAGACUCAGCAGUAGGGGUUCCCAGCCGAGGAAACGUGGCUCCUAACAGGAGCUCCCAUCUGUCCUCCGCUGCCCCCAGCCCCCAUCCUCCUCCUGCCCUGCUGCUGUGACUGUGUGGGGCACUCCCCCUCUCCCUCCGCUCCCUGGAUAGACCUGUGAUUUAUGCCCCUUCUCUUUUGGAGAGUUCUGACAGAGCCCUAUCACCCAGGCUUGGGAGGCAGACCCUGGCUCCCCCAUUUGCUAGCUGGGAGUUUAACCUCUGGGGCUUCAGUUCACUCCUCUAUAAAAUGGUG
Molecule: long non-coding RNA, 379 nt
Filed under: Homo sapiens (human)
Lineage: Eukaryota; Metazoa; Chordata; Mammalia; Primates; Hominidae
Description: HSALNT0078559
Source: RNAcentral